Molecule: long non-coding RNA, 341 nt
Organism: Macrobrachium nipponense
Lineage: Eukaryota; Metazoa; Arthropoda; Malacostraca; Decapoda; Palaemonidae
Exons: 3
Source: RefSeq, a predicted model, not a curated record
AGCUACACUGAAGACAGAUGAAUGCCAGGAGAUACCCGGUGUCUGUCCCAACGGAACCUCAGUGUGUCAAGAUAAAGACGCAGGCUACGAGUGCGUUUGCAAUGCAGGCUUCGAGACAACAGUUUGUGGAGAUAUAGAUGAAUGUGUCAGCGAUCCAUGUGAAAAUUUGCCUAACUCCAGCUGCAAAAACACACCUGGAGGCUUCGAAUGCAUCUGCCCCGUGGGGUAUAUUCUUGGCUCAUCAGGCCUUCAUUGCGUUGAUAUAAAUGAGUGUCAAAGCAAUCCAUGUGUAGAUCCAACCCCCAGUUGCGUCAACACAGAAGGAAGUUACAGCUGCCAAG